AGAGUUGAUCCUGGCUCAGGAUUAACGCUGGCGGCGUGCCUAAUACAUGCAAGUCGAAUGGUAGUAGCAAUACAAACCAUGGCGAACGGGUGAGUAACACGUAGGUAACCUGUCUUUAAGACGAGGAUAACCGUUGGAAACGACGGAUAAUACUGGAUAGGACAUCACAAAGGGCAUCCUUAGAUGUUUAAAGAUUAUUAUGUCACUUAGAGAGGGGCCUGCGGCGCAUUAGCUAGUUGGUGAGGUAAGAGCCCACCAAGGCGAUGAUGCGUAGCCGGACUGAGAGGUUGAACGGCCACAAUGGAACUGAGAACGGUCCAUACUCCUACGGGAGGCAGCAGUAGGGAAUUUUCGGCAAUGGGCGCAAGCCUGACCGAGCAACGCCGCGUGAACGAAGAAGUUAUUCGUAAUGUAAAGUUCUUUUAUCUGGGAAGAAAAACAAAUUGACGGUACCAGAUGAAUAAGCUCCGGCUAACUACGUGCCAGCCGCGGC
RNAcentral lists this ribosomal RNA (493 nucleotides) under uncultured bacterium. Its description in RNAcentral is "bacterial SSU rRNA". It matches the Rfam family "Bacterial small subunit ribosomal RNA", at positions 8 to 518 of the family's 1533-position model. The record is from RNAcentral.